CACCGGCAGCCCAAGUGGUGGCCAUUUUUAUUGGGCCUAAAGCGUUCGUAGCCGGCCUGAUAAGUCUCUGGUGAAAUCCCGCAGCUUAACUGUGGGAAUUGCUGGAGAUACUAUCAGGCUUGAGGUCGGGAGAGGUUAGAGGUACUCCCAGGGUAGGGGUGAAAUCCUAUAAUACUGGGAGGACCACCUGUGGCGAAGGCGUCUAACUGGAACGAACCUGACGGUGAGUAACGAAAGCCAGGGGCGCGAACCGGAUUAGAUACCCGGGUAGUCCUGGCCGUAAAUGAUGCGAGUUAAGUGUGGGGGCAUCCACGAGAUGGCCCUGUGCUGUAGGGUAGCCGUUAAACUCGCUGCCUGGGGAGUACGGUCGCAAGGCUGAA
This 380-nucleotide ribosomal RNA is filed under the name uncultured bacterium. Its description in RNAcentral is "bacterial SSU rRNA". It matches the Rfam family "Archaeal small subunit ribosomal RNA", at positions 474 to 853 of the family's 1478-position model. The record is from RNAcentral.